Molecule: ribosomal RNA, 253 nt
Filed under: uncultured bacterium
Lineage: Bacteria
Description: partial 16S ribosomal RNA
Rfam family: Bacterial small subunit ribosomal RNA
Source: RNAcentral
UACGUAGGGGGCAAGCGUUGUCCGGAUUUAUUGGGCGUAAAGAGCGUGUAGGCGGCUAGGUAGGUCCGUUGUGAAAACUCGAGGCUCAACCUCGAGACGCCGGUGGAAACCAUCUAGCUAGAGUCCGGAAGAGGAGAGUGGAAUUCCUGGUGUAGCGGUGAAAUGCGCAGAUAUCAGGAAGAACACCCGUGGCGAAGGCGGCUCUCUGGGACGGUACUGACGCUGAUACGCGAAAGCGUGGGGAGCAAACAGG